AAUGGGCGAAAGCCUGAUGCAGCAACGCCGCGUGAGCGAAGAAGGCCUUUGGGUCGUAAAGCUCUGUCGGAAGGGAAGAAACAAAUGACGGUACCUUCUGAGGAAGCCCCGGCUAACUACGUGCCAGCAGCCGCGGUAAUACGUAGGGGGCAAGCGUUAUCCGGAAUUAUUGGGCGUAAAGAGUGCGUAGGUGGUCUUGUAAGCGUGGGGUGAAAGGCAGUGGCUUAACCAUUGUAAGCCCUGCGAACUGUGAGACUUGAGUGCAGGAGAGGAAAGCGGAAUUCCUAGUGUAGCGGUGAAAUGCGUAGAUAUUAGGAGGAACACCAGUGGCGAAGGCGGCUUUCUGGACUGUAACUGACACUGAGGCACGAAAGCGUGGGGAGCAA
Molecule: ribosomal RNA, 386 nt
Filed under: uncultured bacterium
Lineage: Bacteria
Description: bacterial SSU rRNA
Rfam family: Bacterial small subunit ribosomal RNA
Source: RNAcentral